AUAUGAAACGCGGUGGCAAACUUGUAAAUAAGUGAAAAGUUUUCUUUAUGUAUUAUAACGGAAUUUGAGAAACCAGUUAUAAUAUGCCUUCCUCCCUAAUUUUCCACUUUUCCCUUUCUCUAAUUUCAUUUCACGUUCCCUCUCUUCUUCGUCUCUAAACCCUUGUGUCUCUCUUCACUCAUAAGCUUUGCUCUGUUGGCUCUUCGUCGCUUCUUCCCAUCAUCACGCACACAUAGCAUAGAGUUCCGACGACAUUCCGUCAAUGCCUAACCAUCAACGACGUAUUCGAUUGAGACUUUGCCGUGUGGCCACCACUGUCGCGCGUCUGAAGUAGCCACCGCAAGCACUUCCUUGUUGCUCAACGCCUAGGGUUCGAACUGCAGGGCACUUGCCCUGCUUGGAUUCGCCUCCGCUCUUCUCCACCAUUCGCUGUUGGAUUUCGCCCUUUGCGCUCGUCUCUUGCAUUGAAUUAGGAAUUGCAUUGAAGCUGAACCUAGCCUAUUUUUGAUCUUUGGAAGCUCAUUCAAGGUUGCAGGGUGUUCCAUCUGUUUCUAGGAAGGAGAUGCAAAUAAUCACACCUAAUUGUCGACGUCAACUGGGCAGUUAUGAAUGUGGGUAUUAUGUAAUGAAACACAUGCAUACCAUUAUUUGUACAAACAUUAUUGAAUCAUGGAAAGAGAUCUUUAAUGAUUCAUCUCCCAUGGAAGUUGCAGUCAUUGACGAUAUUAGAAGGAACUGGGCAUCUUUUAUUUUAAGUAUUAGUAGAAACUUGGCUACAAUUCAAUAGUAUAUGUACAUUUGGAUUUAAUAUAUACUUUCAUGCACAAACGAUGUAUUAAAUAUCAUUAGACUAUUUAAAGUUUGAAA
Molecule: long non-coding RNA, 867 nt
Organism: Vigna radiata var. radiata (mung bean)
Lineage: Eukaryota; Viridiplantae; Streptophyta; Magnoliopsida; Fabales; Fabaceae
Exons: 4
Source: RefSeq, a predicted model, not a curated record